AUGAAUUUCCACAAAAUGAAUAAGUCAUCAAUUACACAAAUGCGUUAAACCAUGAAAUUGAAAAAUGAAGUAUCUCUUUCUCCUGAAUAAUGUUCACGAAUGCAUGCUAGUUCAAAAUUAUUGAUCAUUAUUGAGAAACAGUUGUAUUUUGAAUUAAUUCACAUCAAUUUUCAAAAAUAAUAUUGUACUUUAGUUUUUAGAAUUGAUGUUGAUUGUUUCUUUCAGCGAAUUUUGUGAUAGAAUAUUUUUCCGUUUUGUACUUCAUAAAUUUUCUAGUAACAUCCAAAGUUUUCUUGUGAGUUUCCACAAUAAUACAAACAUCAAACAUAAAAAUUGAGCAAUCUUUAUAAAUUGACUUUUCAAGGUAUACACCUAUGUACGACUAUAAAAAUGAUUCGAAAAUUUGUAUAGUUACGUAUUUUUACAUUUUCAUGGAAUUAAAUGUUCAUCGCCCUUCCUUCUUCACUUCUAGCGCACUGAAAUUUAAGUAAUUCCAUCUUUUCAAUCUUGAAAAGGAUAGAAUUUUCAUUAAUUUUAUGUAUUUCAUCAUUGCAUUUAAAAUCUAAUUUGUUAUGGAUCUCAUAACAAUAGACCGUGAAACAAAGGUUACAGAUAGAAGAAAAAUAUGUUAUUCUUACACCUAUCAUCAAGAAAAUUAAUGAAGCUACAACAGAGAGAAAAAAAUAUGACCAGGAAAUUAAGAAGUUAUUAGAGGAACUGAAAGAGGCAAAGAAGAACCUGCACAAUACACACAUAAAUUUCUCUAUUUAUGUGAAGGAGUUGAUAGCCAAAAAAGAAAGAAUUGAAAAAAAAAAUGGAUCAAAGGCAGUUGUGGUUAACAAGCAUCCACCAACUUUUACAUCUACUCCAAAAAAAAA
Long non-coding RNA from Leptinotarsa decemlineata (Colorado potato beetle), 878 nucleotides. NCBI's taxonomy places the organism in Eukaryota, Metazoa, Arthropoda, Insecta, Coleoptera, Chrysomelidae. The record is from RefSeq and is a predicted model, not a curated record.